This 246-nucleotide long non-coding RNA is filed under the name Amborella trichopoda. Its description in RNAcentral is "long non-coding RNA (ATRI_LNC004458)". The record is from RNAcentral. Lineage: Eukaryota; Viridiplantae; Streptophyta; Magnoliopsida; Amborellales; Amborellaceae.
GAUGAUUUUAAUUCAGUAUUUUAGUGGAAUUUUGUAACAAAAAAAAAGGAAAUGAUAAUUUUGUAUUUUAGUAGAAUUUUGUGACAAAAAGGAAAUAAAUGAUAGUUUAUAGGCACGUGCCGAUAAGAUGUUGCUAAUGCAUUUCCUAUAUUUCUUCUAGACACAGCCAAACAAUAGCAGUGUAUUUUCUAGAUUGCAUCUAAAUACUACCCUUACAGGUAAUAUAUUAAGUCAGUAAUAUAUUUC